GGCUCCACAUGUUCCUGAGAACAAGAAUACUCCACUGCCGUGUCGGGGCUCUCAUCUUCCCUAGCUGCCAGCUUGGUCGCGGUGAUGAAUGGAAGAGGAAGAGGUAGCAGAUCCCCAGGAGGGAAUUGGAUGCAGCUGAAAUACAAGGCAGUAAAGGACACAAGAGUCUACAGCUUUUACUGCAUACUCAUCUCGUUUGCUGAUAAACUUGGUCCAUCCAAAGCUUCCCAGGUGGUUGCAGCGUUAUCCCAGGCUGAGAAGCACAUCACUGUCUGCUAUCUAAGGAAGGUUCUCGUUGGGAUUCAUGGAGUCAUAGAGUAA
Long non-coding RNA from Vulpes vulpes (red fox), 321 nucleotides. Lineage: Eukaryota; Metazoa; Chordata; Mammalia; Carnivora; Canidae. The record is from Ensembl.